Austrofundulus limnaeus is the source of this 747-nucleotide long non-coding RNA. RefSeq lists it as uncharacterized. Lineage: Eukaryota; Metazoa; Chordata; Actinopteri; Cyprinodontiformes; Rivulidae. The record is from RefSeq and is a predicted model, not a curated record. The transcript is spliced from 3 exons.
UCCCCCAUCGCUGUGGGGGGUUUCACUUCUCUGAAAUCAUAAUAUUGUGCAACCAGAAACGAGGCGAAAGAAAACUCGGUUUGUUGUAGUUUCGUAGGAAAURGUGGCAAACGUCAAAACGUAAAAAAAAGGAGGACUUCCUGAACACAACACUGAAAUGCGGGUAUGCGAUCAGUGUAAACAAAACACAACGAGAAGAAACUUGACUCUUGGCUGAGUUAGACCAGCGGUCGUCUGCGGAGGUGAUCCGUGUUUUCUGGGGGAGGCGCUUGUUUCAUCUCAGCUUCAGAGAACCGGACACCAUCUCAGCUGCUCCACGGGAGGGGCAGCGCUCAGUCGUGACCCCCAACCCCCCAUAUACAAAGCCAGUGGGCCCUCUGCAGAUGAGGUGGGGGCUGGGUGGACACAGGGAGGUCUGCAGACCCCACUUGGUCCCAUGGGGUCAAAUAAAAGCCCCCCGUUCUGCUUCGAGUGGUUUGAAGAGCAGGCGCCACAUUCACGAACAGACGGCCCACCACAGCUAAGCCCCUCCCACUUCAGGGGCCACGAGCCCGGGGGUCUCUCCACAGAAGCCUGAGCUCCAUUGUCUGAGCGCGACCCCGGGGUCAGCUGAACUCACCUCCGCUCGGCCACGACCCAUUCAGACGAGCAAGAAAAACAUCUGACAAGAGCUGGGAUCACUUAAAGCGAGGGGGUGGGCACACACACACACACACACACACACACACACACACACACACACACACA